GACGAACGCUGGCGGCGUGCUUAACACAUGCAAGUCGAACGGAAAGGCCCUGAUCUUGUGGGGUGCUCGAGUGGCGAACGGGUGAGUAACACGCGAGUAACCUGCACUUGACUUUGGGAUAACUUCAGGAAACUGGGGAUAAUACAGGAUAGGAGCUCCUGCUGCAUGGGGGGGGUUGGAAAGUUUCGGCGGUUGGGGAUGGACUCGCGGCUUAUCAGCUUGUUGGGGGGGUAGUGGCUUUCCAAGGCUUUGAAGGGUAGCCGGCCUGGGAGCGUGACCGGCCACCUUGGGCCUACGAUACGGCCCAGACUCCUACGGGAGGCAGCAGUGGGAAAUCUUGCACAAUGGGCCGAAGCCUGAUGCAGCAACGCCUCGUUCGUGAUGACGGCCUUCGGGUUGUAAACCGCUUUCUCCUGUGCCGAAGCGUGAGUGACGGUACUUGGUAAAGAAGCACCGGCUAACUACGUG
RNAcentral lists this ribosomal RNA (468 nucleotides) under uncultured bacterium. RNAcentral describes it as "partial 16S ribosomal RNA". It matches the Rfam family "Bacterial small subunit ribosomal RNA", at positions 28 to 507 of the family's 1533-position model. The record is from RNAcentral.